Strongylocentrotus purpuratus (purple sea urchin) is the source of this 73-nucleotide non-coding RNA. NCBI's taxonomy places the organism in Eukaryota, Metazoa, Echinodermata, Echinoidea, Camarodonta, Strongylocentrotidae. The record is from Rfam.
GGCCUGGUGGCUCAGUGGUUAGAGCGCCCGUCUCAUGUACGGAAGGUCGUGGGUUCGAACCCCGGCCGAGUCA